CCUACGGGCGGCAGCAGUGGGGAAUAUUGGACAAUGGGGGCAACCCUGAUCCAGCCAUGCCGCGUGUGUGAAGAAGGCCCUCGGGUUGUAAAGCACUUUCAGUGAGGAAGAACGCCUGGUGGUUAAUACCCAUCAGGAAAGACAUCACUCACAGAAGAAGCACCGGCUAACUCCGUGCCAGCAGCCGCGGUAAUACGGAGGGUGCGAGCGUUAAUCGGAAUUACUGGGCGUAAAGCGCGCGUAGGUGGCUUGAUAAGCCGGUUGUGAAAGCCCCGGGCUCAACCUGGGAACGGCAUCCGGAACUGUCAAGCUAGAGUGCAGGAGAGGAAGGUAGAAUUCCCGGUGUAGCGGUGAAAUGCGUAGAGAUCGGGAGGAAUACCAGUGGCGAAGGCGGCCUUCUGGACUGACACUGACACUGAGGUGCGAAAGCGUGGAUAGCAAACAGGAUUAGAUACCCUAGUAGUC
Molecule: ribosomal RNA, 465 nt
Filed under: Vreelandella stevensii
Lineage: Bacteria; Pseudomonadati; Pseudomonadota; Gammaproteobacteria; Oceanospirillales; Halomonadaceae
Description: partial 16S ribosomal RNA
Rfam family: Bacterial small subunit ribosomal RNA
Source: RNAcentral